CGUCAUGUUCAACACCAACUACAACUCCCUCUACGACGACGUCUCCUCCUCCUUGGCGGCCUCCACCUCCACCUUCUUCUCCACCGCCACCGCACCAUCCUCCUCUGAAUCCGACUCAUCCGACAUCGAUGUCGACUCCCUGCCGCCGGAUUUCGCCACCGUCUUGGCCUCCCAACGCUUCUUCUUCUCUUCCCCUGGCCGCUCCAAUUCCAUCUCCGACUCUUAUAAUAACGACAAGGUCGACCACGCGCCGCCGCUGGAAGGAGGGGUGGCGGUGAAU
This 280-nucleotide long non-coding RNA is filed under the name Linum usitatissimum (flax). Its description in RNAcentral is "long non-coding RNA (LUSI_LNC000841)". Lineage: Eukaryota; Viridiplantae; Streptophyta; Magnoliopsida; Malpighiales; Linaceae. The record is from RNAcentral.